Long non-coding RNA from Oncorhynchus tshawytscha (Chinook salmon), 2389 nucleotides. The record is from Ensembl. Lineage: Eukaryota; Metazoa; Chordata; Actinopteri; Salmoniformes; Salmonidae.
CCUGUGUCUCUCCUCCUUUUUCCAGCCCUGCCUUCAACUGUCACUGAGACAGCUGUUACAGCUCCAAACCUAAACCUGGCCUGGCUGUGGGAUCUUCUGAGAUCCCUCAGAAAACUUGCCAUUCGGAAAGAUCAGCUACUCCUACAUCCAAUGAUACAGUACCCUCCAGGCUAAAAUUUGGACCAGAAAUCAGAAAUUCUUAACCAGAGGCUUGUAAUUUUUCUGAGCAAACCCCAUCCCUCUUGUUUGAAAGAAGGCAACUUGGCACUGAUGGGAAGAGUGACCCAGUUGUCCAAGCUAAGCCGUCUGACCCAUGCAGAGAACGCCAUCGAUGGUCGCCUGGAUGCAGAGUGCCUCUCUGGCUCCAGUGCCCACACCCAGCUUCAGAGCGCCCCCUGGUGGAGGGUGGACCUGCUGGCUGUUCACAAAGCCACCUCCAUUACCAUCACUACCGGAUUGGACUGCUGACCCUGGAGGCAGGACGCGGCAGAGAUUCUCAUCGGAAGCUCCCUGAAGAACAACGGCAACAGUAACCCUCAGUGUGCUGUGAUCUCAUCCAUAGCGGCUGGGGACUCUGUCACCUUCCAGUGCCACGGGAUGGAGGGACAUCAUCCGCCUGGGCUGCUUCAUCCCGUGCUUGGUGGGUAUAUGAUGGAUUAGAAUUGGGGUAAAUUCAUAGAGAUGUACUAGAGAGCUCAUCCCCUAUCUUUGCAAUGGCCACUUCUGUGAGAGCAUGGGCAGCACCAUUGAGGGCUGUCCCCAUUUUAAUGUUGUCAAUUUCUUCUUCUUCUAUGAGUGUAUUGGCAGUACCAAAAUAAACUGAAAAGGUGCAUACCACUACCUACUUUGCUGGAGUGUGUAUAGUUUGAACAGAUAGAUUUACUGCCACCUGCAAUUAUGGAAUGUUUCCUCAGGUGUAUACAGGUAAUUCAUUGGCUGAACCCUCCUACUGACCUACUGUGAUCCUUCCUUAACCCAUUGCAAGUCCUACCCAUUUGACUACUUCAAAAUGGUGAAAAUCCUCAAUGCACAUGCUGAAACAGGUUUUGGGACACAUGCUCCCUCUAACCAACUCAAUGGGUCAAUUACAUUUCAACACAGUUGAUUCACGGAAGGCCGAAUCCUAACUUCAAAUCGAUGUAUUUACCUCAAGUUUCAUGCAUUAGGAUUAAGCCUGAAAUGAGUUGACAUGUGGUAGUUUCAACCCUGCUUUUGAAUUGAUUUCCCUCACUUCUCGUCUUCUAUUUCUCUACUGACGAAGAGACCUAUAAUCAAAACAGUACAGACGAAGAGACGUUUGACCAUGAGAAAAUAUCAUUUGAGACACAAUAUCCAGUUGAUACAGUGCAUGGUAAGUUACCCACAUAGUCUGCAAACUGCAAGCAAACCCUUUUGCAUUCGUUGUGUCACGAAGGCUGUUUACAUAGGCAGCUCACUUCUGAUUUUUUCACUAAUUUGUCUUUUGACUAAUCAGAUUAGCUCUGAUUAUGAGCUGAUGUGAAAAUAUCUGAUGUGAUUGGUCAAAAGACAAAUUACUGGGAAAAAGAUUAGAAUUGGGUUGCCUUUGUAAAUGCAGCCUAUUACACUUACACUGCCUUCAGAAAGUAUUCACACCCCUUUGACUUUUUACACAUUUUGUUGUGUUACAGCCUGAAUUUAAGAUGGAUUUAAAAAAUAAAAAAAUGUCACUGGCACAAUAUCCCAUAACGUCAAUGUGGAAUUAUGUUUUUCAAUUUUUUUUUUACAAAUUAGUAACAAAUGACAAGCUGAAAUGUCUUGAGUCAAUAAGUAUACAACCCCUUUGUUAUGGCAAGCCUAAAUAAGUUUAGGAGUAAACAUUUGCUUAACAAGUUGCCCCUUUGAACAUGGUGAAGUUAUUAAUUAUACUUUGGAUGGUGUAUCAAUACACCCACUCAAUACAAACUCAGUUGCCGGAAAGGAAGGAAACCGCUUAGGGAUUUAUCCAUGAAGUCAAUGGAGACUUUAAAACAGUUACAGAGUUUAAAGGCUGUGGAAGAAGAAAACUGAGAAUGGAUCAACAACAUUGUAGUUACUCUUUGCUUAUUUGAGCUGUUCUUGCCAUAAUAUGGACUUGGUCUUUUACAAAAUAGGGCCACCUUCUGUAUACCAUCCCAACUGAUUGGCUCAAACGCAUUAAGAAGGAAAGAAAUUCCGCAAAUAAACUUUUAACAAGGCACACCUGUUAAUUGAAAUGCUUUCUAGGUCAUUACCUCAUGAAGCUGGUUGAGAAUGCCAAGGGUGUGCAGAGCUGUCAUCAAGGCAAAGGGUGGCUGAAGAAUCUCAAAUAUAUUUUGAUUUGUUAAACACUUUGUUGGUUACUACAUGACUUCAUAAGUAUUAUUUCAUAGUGUUGAUGUCUUCCCUAUUA